AGAGCGAACGCUGGCGGCAGGCCUAACACAUGCAAGUCGAGCGCCCAGCAAUGGGAGCGGCAGACGGGAUAGUAACACGUGGGAACGUACCUUUCAGUUCGGAACAACCCAGGGAAACUUGGGCUAAUACCGAAUACGCCCGUAAGGGGAAAGAUUUAUCGCUGAAAGAUCGGCCCGCGUCUGAUUAGCUAGUUGGUGGGAUAAUGGCCCACCAAGGCGACGAUCAGUAGCUGGUCUGAGAGGAUGAUCAGCAUCACUGGGACUGAGACACGGCCCAGACUCCUACGGGAGGCAGCAGUGGGGAAUAUUGGACAAUGGGCGCAAGCCUGAUCCAGCCAUGCCGCGUGGAUGAUGAAGGCCCUAGGGUUGUAAAGUCCUUUCGGCGGGGAAGAUAAUGACGGUACCCGCAGAAGAAGCCCCGGCUAACUUCGCGCCAGCAGCCGC
This 444-nucleotide ribosomal RNA is filed under the name uncultured bacterium. Its description in RNAcentral is "SSU rRNA". It matches the Rfam family "Bacterial small subunit ribosomal RNA", at positions 26 to 518 of the family's 1533-position model. The record is from RNAcentral.